AUAAGAUUUUAAUUGAAUGCUAAGAGAAUGGAAUUUCAGAAAAAAACUUUUUUCAAGUUAAAAAUUGAAAUUUUUUCAAUUUGUGCAGAAACAAUUAUUAAUAUUAAGGACAAGAAGACCCUAUGAAUUUAUAAAUUUUAUUUAAUAUGUAACUACUAUUGAAAAAAUUUUAGCUGGGGCGGCGGAAAAAUAUUUAAAACUUUUUUAAAAUAAAAUGACCCAUUAUUAAUGAUUAUAUGUUAAAUACUCUAGGGAUAACAGCGUUAUAUUUUUUGAUAGAUCAUAUUGACAAAAAAGUUUGCGACCUCGAUGUUGGAUUAGGAUACUUUUUUAAUGCAGAUAUUAAAAAAAGAAGUU
This 357-nucleotide ribosomal RNA is filed under the name Rhipicephalus sanguineus (brown dog tick). RNAcentral's name for it is "partial 16S ribosomal RNA". The record is from RNAcentral. Lineage: Eukaryota; Metazoa; Arthropoda; Arachnida; Ixodida; Ixodidae.